CAGCGCCACGAGUGGCAAUCACGAUUAUUGGGCCUAAAGCGUCCGUAGCCGGUUCGGUAAAUCCUUUGUGAAAUCGCCAGGCUUAACCUGGCGGCGUGCAGGGGACACUGCCGAACUCGAGACCGGGAGGAGUUAGCAGUAUUUCUGGGGGAGCGGUAAAAUGCUAUAAUCCCAGAAGGACUACCUAUGGCGAAGGCAUCUAACUAGAACGGAUCUGACGGUGAGGGACGAAAGCCAGGGGAGCGAACCGGAUUAGAUACCCGAGUAGUCC
This 271-nucleotide ribosomal RNA is filed under the name uncultured archaeon. Its description in RNAcentral is "partial 16S ribosomal RNA". It matches the Rfam family "Archaeal small subunit ribosomal RNA", at positions 477 to 747 of the family's 1478-position model. The record is from RNAcentral.